GAGAUAUGAUGAAAUAUACUUUGGUCCGUGUUUCUGACUUAACCGUGACCGAUAAACCCUUACCAUUAUCUGAUCUC
This 77-nucleotide small nucleolar RNA is filed under the name Corchorus capsularis. RNAcentral's name for it is "Small nucleolar RNA SNORD18". It matches the Rfam family "Small nucleolar RNA SNORD18". From Rfam's summary of the family: U18 is a member of the C/D class of snoRNA which contain the C (UGAUGA) and D (CUGA) box motifs. The record is from Rfam by way of RNAcentral. Lineage: Eukaryota; Viridiplantae; Streptophyta; Magnoliopsida; Malvales; Malvaceae.